CAAGAAAUAGUUUAAGAAAAAUUUCAGUUUUGGGAAUUGAAGAUAAAGAAUAUUUUUUUUCUUGA
RNAcentral lists this transfer RNA (65 nucleotides) under Curtonida isos. Its description in RNAcentral is "Munida isos tRNA-Pro". The record is from RNAcentral. Lineage: Eukaryota; Metazoa; Arthropoda; Malacostraca; Decapoda; Munididae.